This 400-nucleotide ribosomal RNA is filed under the name uncultured bacterium. Its description in RNAcentral is "bacterial SSU rRNA". It matches the Rfam family "Bacterial small subunit ribosomal RNA", at positions 355 to 772 of the family's 1533-position model. The record is from RNAcentral.
UGGGGAAUCUUGGACAAUGGGGGCAACCCUGAUCCAGCCAUGCCGCGUGAGCGAUGAAGGCCUUAGGGUUGUAAAGCUCUUUCAGCGGGGAAGAUAAUGACGGUACCCGCAGAAGAAGCCCCGGCUAACUCCGUGCCAGCAGCCGCGGUAAUACGGAGGGGGCUAGCGUUGUUCGGAAUUACUGGGCGUAAAGGGCGCGUAGGCGGGCGCAUAAGUCGGGGGUGAAAUCCCGGGGCUCAACCCCGGAACUGCCUCCGAUACUGUGUGUCUUGAGGACGGGAGAGGUGAGUGGAAUUCCGAGUGUAGAGGUGAAAUUCGUAGAUAUUCGGAGGAACACCGGUGGCGAAGGCGGCUCACUGGCCCGAUCCUGACGCUGAGGCGCGAAAGCGUGGGGAGCAAA